Long non-coding RNA from Beta vulgaris subsp. vulgaris (sugar beet), 743 nucleotides. RefSeq lists it as uncharacterized. The record is from RefSeq and is a predicted model, not a curated record. The transcript is spliced from 4 exons. Lineage: Eukaryota; Viridiplantae; Streptophyta; Magnoliopsida; Caryophyllales; Amaranthaceae.
CAAAGCUCAGACAGAUGAGCGGCAUACACAUAAAGGAGCAUAAGCAGAGGAAGAAUCCCUCAUCUUCCCUCUGCGUUUUACUCUUGGGCCAAUUGUCAUUUUUCUCAUAAUUGAUCGGAAUAGAAAAUGAUGCCUUCUUUGGUUACAGUUCGUCCGAUUCCCUCAAUUUGAGUAAUUUUGCCGAUCAAAGACUCAAACUUUCUCUCUCGAGAUUAUCGGUUUCAGUUCCUAGAAAUGGGUUGUCUUUCAAGCGUCUCUACAUUCUGAUUUUUCGAGCAUAGUGUUCUCAGCUGAGUCCCUACGUAUGGGUAAUGAAGAAGACACAGUACUAUUUGAUCGACACUAGUGUAGUUCUAGCAGGUGCCGUUGUCUCUGAGUUACAUAAGGGAAACUGGACUAUAACAAAUACUAACCCUUAUUCUUUACUAGUAUGAUUCGAAGGCAUGAUAAUGUGUCUGGUGGAUCAUGAAGAAAUUAACGCGUACUUGUUGAGCUUCAAGGAUCCAGGAGGACUUGAUGUGCAAUUUAUCUACGACGGACUUCGUGUGCCUGUAAAUCUCUAGCCACCCUUUCUCUGUCAGGUUCCAAUGAUCCCAUCUCUGUAGACUACAAUGCCAGACUUGGCAAUUAAGUGAUAGAGGGAUCAUUACAUUGAUGUGAUCUUAAUUAAACGAGAUUAUUGUCAUUUGGCACUUAGCUUUGGCUGUUGGCACCAUCAAUAUUGGAAGAUUUCCUUUUCAUCC